GUGAACCUUUACUAUAGCUUGACACUGAACAUUGAGCCUUGAUGUGUAGGAUAGGUGGGAGGCUUUGAAGUGUGGACGCCAGUCUGCAUGGAGCCGACCUUGAAAUACCACCCUUUAAUGUUUGAUGUUCUAACGUGGACCCGUAAUCCGGGUUGCGGACAGUGUCUGGUGGGUAGUUUGACUGGGGCGGUCUCCUCCUAAAGAGUAACGGAGGAGCACGAAGGUUGGCUAAUCCUGGUCGGACAUCAGGAGGUUAGUGCAAUGGCAUAAGCCAGCUUGACUGCGAGCGUGACGGCGCGAGCAGGUGCGAAAGCAGGUCAUAGUGAUCCGGUGGUUCUGAAUGGAAGGGCCAUCGCUCAACGGAUAAAAGGUACUCCGGGGAUAACAGGCUGAUACCGCCCAAGAGUUCAUAUCGACGGCGGUGUUUGGCACCUCGAUGUCGGCUCAUCACAUCCUGGGGCUGAAGUAGGUCCCAAGGGUAUGGCUGUUCGCCAUUUAAAGUGGUACGCGAGCUGGGUUUAGAACGUCGUGAGACAGUUCGGUCCCUAUCUGCCGUGGGCGCUGGAGAACUGAGGGGGGCUGCUCCUAGUACGAGAGGACCGGAGUGGACGCAUCACUGGUGUUCGGGUUGUCAUGCCAAUGGCACUGCCCGGUAGCUAAAUGCGGAAGAGAUAAGUGCUGAAAGCAUCUAAGCACGAAACUUGCCCCGA
Molecule: ribosomal RNA, 710 nt
Filed under: Salmonella enterica
Lineage: Bacteria; Pseudomonadati; Pseudomonadota; Gammaproteobacteria; Enterobacterales; Enterobacteriaceae
Also listed under: 2 other names
Description: partial 23S ribosomal RNA
Rfam family: Bacterial large subunit ribosomal RNA
Source: RNAcentral